CCCAUGUCCAGGGAGAGAGAAGAAUCUCCUGUGGAUUGUCACACUGCUUGUCUCUCUUCAUCAUCACGUAGCAGAGUGAGACAGUGAURCCUCACCUGUUGUACGUAUCUGUAUCGUAGCAUGUGUAAGAAUAAGCACCGGCUGAUUCUAUUGUGCACMCCAAGGAUCCAAGAGCUAU
This 178-nucleotide ribosomal RNA is filed under the name uncultured beta proteobacterium. Its description in RNAcentral is "partial 16S ribosomal RNA". Lineage: Bacteria; Pseudomonadati; Pseudomonadota; Betaproteobacteria. The record is from RNAcentral.